This 489-nucleotide ribosomal RNA is filed under the name uncultured bacterium. Its description in RNAcentral is "bacterial SSU rRNA". It matches the Rfam family "Bacterial small subunit ribosomal RNA", at positions 28 to 498 of the family's 1533-position model. The record is from RNAcentral.
GAUGAACGCUAGCGGCAGGCUUAAUACAUGCAAGUCGAGGGGCAUCAAGGUACACGAAAGUGUAUUGUUGGCGACCGGCGGACGGGUGAGUAAUAGGUAGGUAACCUACCUCAUACUGAGGCAUAGCUGGGAGAAAUUCCAGGUAAUUCCUCAUGAGGUUAUAUGACACAUGUGAUAUAAUCAAAGGUAUCGCAAGGUACUGGUAUGAGAUGGGCUUACUGACCAUUAGCUAGUUGGUGAGAUAAGAGCUCACCAAGGCGAAGAUGGUCAGGGGUUUUGAGAGAGAGAUCCCCCACAUUGGAACUGAGAUACGGUCCAGACUCCUACGGGAGGCAGCAGUAGGGAAUAUUGGGCAAUGGGCGCAAGCCUGAUCCAGCCAUGCCGCGUGAGUGAAGAAGGCCCUCGGGUUGUAAAGCUCUUUUGUCCGGAAAGAAAAGCGCCGGGUUAAUACCCUAGUGUCCUGACGGUACCGAAGAAUAAGCACCGGCU